This 31468-nucleotide long non-coding RNA is filed under the name Lactuca sativa (garden lettuce). Its description in RNAcentral is "long non-coding RNA (LSAT_LNC002198)". The record is from RNAcentral. Lineage: Eukaryota; Viridiplantae; Streptophyta; Magnoliopsida; Asterales; Asteraceae.
AGAUAAUUCUCAAGAAAAUGACUUUCGUCAUUAUGUUGAUUUAUGCUGCUGGUUAAUUAUUCUUUUUUUAGAAAUAAUAAACUUAUGGAUAUGACACACAAACAUGUGUGUAUAUAUAUAUAUAUAUAUAUAUAUAUAUAUAUAUAUAUAUAUAUAUAUAUAUGUGUGUGUGUGUGUGUGGGUGNAUGUUAAUUACAUAAUAUUUUUUUUGUUAUAAUAGGUAUGACGAGCUUCCCACAAGUCGCACAUGGUUCUUGUAGUAAAGAUUCUGACUGUGAUUUUAUUGAACCUCCUUGUCCUUUUGAUGCAUAUGCUGUAUGCAUUUGGAAAACCUGUUAUUGUAUUGGGUAUGAUCAAGCAAUGCCACCAACUAUUCCUGCCAUUCAACUUAAUGAUGUUAAAGCUCAAGAAAAACACUAUUAAUCUUAGGUUUUAUGCUUUGCGGAUUUAUACAUAGUCGUGAGUAACACAAGUGUAAAUAUAUUGAAGCAUUCAAGUGAUGUUUUGAAAUAAAAGAUGUGUGAUCUUAUUUAAAUAUCAAAUUAAUCCAAUUGCUACAUUGGUAAAUCAAAUGGUCUUUUAGAUCAAUAGUUAGUUGGUAAUAAUGUACUUCGUUGAACUUGAUAGUCAGAUAUCUUAUUAUAAAUAUAGUCAUAUUAAUAAUAAUAAUACAAGGAAUGUUAUUUUAAAAACUAGUUGGAUUAUAUAGCAUGCGAAACUGUAACUCCCUAAAUUUUCAAUGAGAUUUUUGAUUUGAAAAUAGAUUAACUGAUUACAACCUUCAACUUAAAAUAACAUAUCUGACAUUCAUUAAUUUGAAACCAUUAUGUUAUCAGAGUUGAAUUACAAGAAAGCGGAAAUCAUUAUCGUCAAUGCGUGUGUAAGCGACUCGAAGAAGUUGAAUUAAUCCUCAAAUAAAAAGUACGCGACUCGAAGAAGAAACGAACACCAUCACACUGCAACUAAUCGACCUCAAGAGGCACUCAACCCUUAAUCACAAUUUGAAGACUUCUAGAUCAUAACUGAUUUCAAGGAAAACAAGGCCACUCCACACAUCAAUGAUGUUGACAGAAUGUUCACAAAAUCAGUACUUCCAAGGUUUUCCAGGUCUCACGCCGUCUCAAUGAUAAUUGAGUACAUCAUCCAUAAUCCACAGUCGAUCUCGAUAACCUCACAUACAGACUCAAGAAAAAAUAUGAACCAAUAAAGGCUAAACUAGCCUACACAUCCCCUUGGUUCAAAAGCCCUGCAUCUAGACAUGAAGAUAAAUAAACAAAACAACAACAAUUUUGAUCAACCCAUCCCAAAUUCAGAUAUCAUGACUGAGGUACUCAAAUACAAACACAACUUCCUGAAAAGUCGUAACUAACUAAUUGCUCCCACAAACAUAACCAUGGUCAAUACCUAAACUCGCAUGACACUCAAGUUCCCAAAAUAGCUCAGGUGUAUAAUCAUUUGUCGAAAGUCAAAACACCGAAGAGACUUAUAACUACUCGCAUCACCAGUAACAUAACUCACAUGAAAACAUAUCAUAAAACAAACAUGAAUCCACUAAGAAGAAUCCCAAUAAUGAGCUGCUAAUAUACCACAAUGACUUUUCCAGCAAGUCUGUAACAACUUGUUAUUUCAGGUCAACAAAAGUCAGUAGAAGUCAACAAAGAUUAACGAAUGUCAAUCAAUGGGAAAAUAGUUAGAACAAUUUGAUUUAAAUAUGUUAAAUUAUAUUUAUUAAUGUAUUUUGGUUAAGAAAUCAAAUACAUCAAAAUCCGAGAAAUCUCGCAUAAGACAAAACCCUCGGACCGAAAACGGUUUACGGUGUGGACCGAAAUCAACACCGCAAACCCUCGCAUACGCCAAGUGCUUCGGACCGAAAUCAUUCCCACUAAAAUCGCCUUUGGACCGCAAUCGUCUUUGGACAACAAACCCUCACCUCGUUCUCGGUGGACCCAAGACCGAAAUCCCUCGGUAUUAUCCUUUGGCACGCAAUUCUAGAGGAUAAAAUACAUAUUCCAAUGCAUGUGUCACAUCAUAUUUCUUCCAUAUUUAUAUAUUAGACCGAAAACACAUCCUCAUUCUCACAUAUCUUAGCCAAAAACACCACCUUUUCUCUCAAAAACUCAUGUGAAAUCACCCUCUUUCCUCUCAAGUAUCAUACAAAAACUCACUUGAAUCUUCAUAAGAUCUUGUCAAAGAUCUUCAAGUGUUCUUAAUAUCCUUAGAAAUUACCAUCCAAUCUUCUUAUUACCAACCGAAAACACCCUAAUCUCCUUAUUUCCACCAAGAACACCGAGAAUACACAAGCAACCGAAAACACCUAUUUUCGGAUAAAUCUAACGCUUUUUGUAAGUGUUUCUUACAUGAUUCUAGUGUUAUUUAUCACUUAAAUUGAUAUCUUAUUAGUUUGAGUUCUAUAUAGGGGAUAAUUAUUGUUAGGACACGACUACUCGCUCUGGUCUUAACUUAAGGAUCAUUACUACUACACCGUAUCUCCACAUGAACACCCACUUAAGGUGAGUUCAUACCCCUAUGUUUUUACUAUUUUUAAAUGUUUUAGGGGGGGGGGNNNNNNNNNNNNNNNNNNNNNNNNNNNNNNNNNNNNNNNNNNNNNNNNNNNNNNNNNNNNNNNNNNNNNNNNNNNNNNNNNNNNNNNNNNNNNNNNNNNNNNNNNNNNNNNNNNNNNNNNNNNNNNNNNNNNNNNNNNNNNNNNNNNNNNNNNNNNNNNNNNNNNNNNNNNNNNNNNNNNNNNNNNNNNNNNNNNNNNNNNNNNNNNNACACGUCCGCACAAUAGUUGUUCAUCCACAUUAUAAUAUAUAUAUAUAUUGUCACACCCCCGAACCAGACGACGGAAAUGUCCGAUGGCUCGUGUGACUAAAAUUGAAUAUCAUCACAAUGAAUAUACAUGAAACAUAACAUAAACAUCACCAUCCAUUAAUACUUUACAACUGACCUUGUUCACAUCAAGUACAUUGUCUAAAUAUUACAUUUCCAAAACAUAAAUUGUUUGAGAGUUUUCAAAACAUAACAUCCUAACACACUUGGUAAUGUUCUUCAACUUAUCUGUUACCUGAGAAUACAAGUUAUUUUGAAAACGUCAACAUAUGGAAUGUUGGUGAGUUCAUAAGCAGGGUUGAUAUGAAAAUGUUUUGUGCAGUUUAUAAAACCCAGAAAAUCCGAUAUUUUUUUAAACGACCAUUGUUUAUACAAAAGUGUGAAGAUCCAUCGGUUUAUGCAUGAAUGAUUUCAAAGCGUGUAUAAAUGAGAAGUUUUUGCAUUAUAGUUAUUGAAAAUACAAGUGAAUAGUGUUGAUUUCCCCCAAAAUCUGAUGUUUUUCGAUAAAAUAGUAUGAUUGUUUCGAAUUAUUAUACCGCUACAACAAAUGAUUAUGAAUUCCCUUGAUUACUUAGAUAGUAUUGGAUUUAUUAUGUGAGUCGUUAUAACCAUGCAUGAUAAUGACUAGUUCGUCUGUCUUGGCAUUCUGUUGAACGCCUGAAUUGAUCUUAAGAUUUUGUCACCCUAGACUGGCCGAGUCUAACUGUAGCGGACAACCGAGGUGUGGGGGAGUCACCCCCGUAUAGAUCUAUACACAAACUCUCGCUCUCCCUCCAGGAGACUUUGAUUAUAACUACAGACUAUGACCGACACUUAAAGGUGUCGCCCAUUAUUACUCACUUAACCCAAACGAAUUUGAUUACCAUUGAUUAACGACCUGAAUUUGUUUACUUGAAUUGAAUGUAAGCCUAACAGACGAGGAGAAGAGGAUUACGAGGUCCUACUAAUUACAUAUGUUAUUUAAGGCUGUUGGGUAUUACGAAGGACGCGUUGGCCCAUUUCGCAUAUGAUUUAUUUGGACCUUACUAGCAAUGUUAAUGGGCCACUGAGGCCCAAUAGCACGUAAAAGCCAUUGAGGGUCCCUUAAGCAUGUAAUUGGGUCACAGGAGGCCUAAUAGACAUGUAUUAUUAUUGUUAGGCCCAAAAGUUAUGUUAAUGGGUUACGAAAGCCCAAUAAGCAUGAUUAGAAUCUUUUAAGCCCAACAAUUUGAAUAUUUACUUGUUUUAGGUAUAGUAUAAUUGGCGGAAGUUUGAUUGUACAAUUGUUAAAUCGUAAAGACACGAGGUUUGUCGAUUGUUUAUAACGAUAUUUGAAAAUAUAUGUAUAUUCUUCAUUCUAUUUUCAUAAGUUAUAAUUUGGUAUUUUUGACCAAAAUAUCUUAAUAAUAAAACAAUUGACUCAAAAAUAUUGGUUUGACCUAUUCAGCCAUUCUUUAAUAAAAAUGAAAAUCUUAGUCCCUUUUUAUAAAAAAAAUGACAUUUUAGGCCCUUAAACUAUUUUCUUGACCUUUUUGGCCCAUACACUUAUUUGAAUAAUGUUUUUAACCCAAAAUUUACUCUUUGGCAGUUUCAGCCCCUUUAGUAAAGAAUUUUCAUUUAAAGUCCAAACUUUUCGCAAAUUUUACAAUUUUGACCCAAAAUCCAAAAACUUUGCAUUUUUGAUCCUUUUUGGCAAAAAGGUCAUUUUAACCCCUGAAAUAGAUUUAUUUACCUUUUUACCCACUUUUUUGAGAAAUUUACCAUUUCAACCCCUUAAAACACAUUUUUUCGCAAUUUUGGGCCUAUGGGCCGAAAAGCCCAAAAAUUGGCCCAUUAGGCUACAAUUUACAUUUCUAGUCCUUCGAAGAGCAUAAUAUUCAUAAAAACAUCUAUUUUAACUGUUUUGACCCUUUUGGUCCUUUUGAAACCAUGAAUGACAACCUUUAACCCAACUUUUGUUUAUUUGACAAUUAUAGCCCAAAAAUGAGCUUUAUGUUGUAAUAUGUUUAAUAUAACCUUAGAGGGUUAUUUUUCUUGACUUGUUUAAUGUAAUAUAUCUUUGAUCGCGUUUAUUUUCCUCCUUGAGCUAUAGAUCUCAAAAUUUCUUUCCUCUUUGGCACAUAUACCACAUAAACACAUGAAAUCACACAUAACAUACACAUACACAUAGAUCUAUACAUUUUACUUGUAUUCUCCCCCAUAAAACUUGUGAAAACCGAAAAUAAAGGGGUAUGAACUCACCUUUGCUUGUUGUUUUUGGUUUUGAAGAAAGAAUGGAAGAGUUUGAUGUUGUUUUCGGCCCUAGAAAGCUUCUUGAGAAGACUUUGGCUUAGAUAGGUUCUAAGAAGCAUGAUCAUGAACUUUCAUGAGUUAUAAGGAGAUUUAUAAAAGAUUCAAGAAGCUAAACCAUGGAUCUAAGCAUCAACUUACCUAGAAUGAUGAUUUUUGUGGAAGAACCUCCUUGAAAUGCCCUAGAUCUCGAAAUUUUGAUGGAGGGAAGGAAAGUGUUCUUGAAUGUAUACUUAGAAAGAGUUUUGAGUUAUGUGUGUGUGUGCCUCUUGUCUUUCGGCCGAGAGAUGAUAAGAAAAGGGAAGAAGAAAGAGAGUGAUGCUUGAAAUGAUGGUGCAUGGGAAAAUGAGAGUUCAUGGGUGUAUGUUGUGUAUUAGGCAUGUAGGACUAAUGGUUAUUAGUGAGGUGGCACCUCACUAAUUACUCUUAUCACAAUUCUUUUUUUUCCUACUUAGGCCGAGAGAGAGGGAGAAGAGAAAGAAUUUUGGGCCUUUAAUGCUUGAGUCCAUAAUAUGGGUCCAAUUUGAUGGUUUUUGCCUUUUAGAGAAUUUCACGGCCUAAUACACAUCAAGGGAUGAGUUUUAUGACCUAUUAGGGCUAAUUAGAGUUGUUAUGGCCCAAUAAUGCCCAUUUAGGUAAACUAUUUUAUUUUAGGCCCAUUAUGGCCUAAAUGUUAAAUUUUGUGAAAGUGGGUCCAAUUAGAGCCCAUUUAAGGGUUCUAAGCCUAAAAUAGUCAAUUUGGAAGCUUAUUAGUCCAUUAGGCCCAAUAAGGAAGUCCUAGUCCAAAAUGGACUUACUCCGGGAUUUUUAGGGUUUCCAAGCUUUUGUUGACUAUUUGAAUGUUUGUAUAGAGUAUUUGAUGGAAUUUUUUUUGUCAUUGAAUAAGCACCAUACAUGUUUUCAAGUUUUAGCUAUAAUGUUAUCUUGGUUAAGGGUUUUACAAAGCAUCAGAAUUCCUAGUUGUGACAUAUAUAUAUAUAUAUAUAUAUAUAUAUAUAUAUANNNNNNNNNNNNNNNNNNNNNNNNNNNNNNNNNNNNNNNNNNNNNNNNNNNNNNNNNNNNNNNNNNNNNNNNNNNNNNNNNNNNNNNNNNNNNNNNNNNNNNAUAAAUCACUUCAAUCAAUUUAAUACCCUUUGUAACAUGCCGAGCAAAUGGGUAUUCUCAUGAAUAUUUCAUUUCAAACAAAAUAAACAUAUAAACUAUAAUAGGUAUAAUUUAUGGAACACUUACACUAUUUUACCAAGUCAAGAUACGAUACUAAACUAAACACUCUCGUACAAUUACUUUACACAACGAGUAUACUAGAAAAGGACCAUACUUUCAGUUCAUUUAUUACAAAAUGACUUUUCAUUAUUCUUCACGUAACCGUCGAUAUGGUUUUUGUGAGAUAACGUUCACGUCCUUAUUUAAGUACUAUUAAAGUCCUGAUGGUAAUAACCAGAAUCUCCCAAUAAAGAACGAGACAAAUGUGUAUAGAUCCAUACGGGACUGAAAAUCCCACACCUAAACUGUUCGCUACAGUUAGGCCGGCAGGCCUGGGGUGACAAAUGUCAUUACAAUUUUGGACGCUUGAAAAAUGUCGUAUCAGGCCUUCCUGGUCUUAGUAUGGUUAUAAUGACUCGCAAAAAGAUAUUAGCAAUACGAUUAGUGUAUGAAUACUUUAACAAAGGGUUUUAUUAAAUAAUAAAACUACAACAUAACGAUUUACAAGUACAAUACUAUGACUUACAAUUACAGCUGGUGGAUCCAGGCACAUACACAAUUACAGAGAACAUACUAGUUUACAAUAUAGGGAAACAUAACAAUGUAGAAAAUAGUCUUUAUAUAGUUUUAUUGUGAAUUAAAACUACGUUACACUAUAACAUAGUACAACAACAAAUACACCGUUUCGUUUUAUGGUAUUAACACUACUUUUUCAGUUAUAUUAGAAAAUAUUGGAUUUUCUGGUACAACAUACUUACACCUUCAAGAAUCAAUUAACAAACUUCUAUUACAAAUGUUUAUGAACUCACCAACUUAAAUGUUGAUACUCUAUUUUCAAAACACUUGUAUUCUUAGGGAACCAGUAGACAUGUACACCCACAAGUUUUGAGAAGACAGAGCAAUAUAUAUUCACGUCUUUUAGUUUUUGCUAUACAUUUUGGUGUCUAUAUACAAUGAUUUGAACACUUGUGUAAUAACUUAUACUCUAUUAAUACAAUGGUUGUUGUGCUUUGAUUAGUAUUAUGCAAUUGUUGUGAUACUUAAACAUGAAGUCAUCCACCCUCGAACGUUUCCGCCGUUCAGGUUUGGGGGUGUGACAGAUUGGUAUCAGAGCAUUGUUUAUAGUGAACUCAGUAUAUCAAACCACAAAAGAUAUACAAAUAUAAAUACAAUGGGGCUGAAACAUUCUUAAUAAAAGUAUACUUUUCAAAUAUAAGUAUUUUACAAGAAGUACACUAACAUGCAUACAUACCAGAAACAAUAUCACAGUCAGAACUACAUAAAAAUAUUUGGAUGUUGGACACUGUAGUUAAACUUAGACAGUUAUGUAAUCAUAUCUGGGAUAAAUAUAGCUUGAUCAACUAUAUUUAUUUGAGAUACGACCAACAUGUGUUUGGGAGUGAUGGUAGUGUUGCAACAAGUCUAAAACUUACCAACUCUAUAUACAGAAAAACUCUAGAACCAAACAUAAAGUGAAAAUACUAUAGGAUUAUUUUAAGGCACUACAAUACUAGAACCAACUAUGUGAAAACCAAGGACCCUUGCUAGUAGAUAUAUAAGUGCUAAGUGUAUACAUUACAAUUAUAUAUAAUUAAGGUUUUAUAGACUUAUAAUUUGUGGUUUAGCUUUACUUCAUUUUCCUUGUUUGGAUGUGGAUAUAGAGUAGGAUCAUUUAUUCGAAGGUCUACUUGACCCGAGUUAUAUAUAAUUAGAAUACACUAUUUAGUUAUAUGGGGACCCAGUAUGGGUCAUACUGUACAUAAUUCAUUAACAAUAUAACUAUAGGUUUCUUAUAUUGAAACUUGAAAUUUUUUACUUGCUUUAGUAAACUGCUACUCAUCAAUGGAACAUUAUUAAAGUCAGGAUAAUAUUCUUUAGGAACUAAGAUAUAUCUUGUUCAAUAUCACUUGACUCAUAAACACUGUAGGGGGCUUAUCAUUAAUUCCUCUUUAAACCAUAUAGCGAAAGAUGCCGCCAAGAAGAAAUUUAAGGCGUAUCAAUACCACUGCAGCAUCACCUCCACCUCCAUUACCACCACCACCUCCACAAUUUGACUCUGCUAUAUUCCAAGCAGUAGUCGUAACCGCCGUGGCAGCCGCCAUGACGCACAUUAAUACAACUGGUAUUAGUGGAUCGGGUAGUGGUGCUCAUCCUUCUAACCAAGGAGAAAGUCAUGGACACCCAAGGUAGUGUUCUUAGAAAGACUUCACCAAUGGCAAAGCCAAAUCUUUUGAUGGAACCAGGGGAGUCAAUGCCUUAACACAAUGGAUCGAGAAAACAGAAGCAGUCUUUGAAAUCUGCUCGUGCCCUGAAGGGAGCAAAGUGAAGUUUGCUGCUUGCACCUUCUUUGACCUAGCCCUCACAUGGUGGAAUGGCCAUGUCAAGUCACUGACUCUUAUAUUGGCUAACUCAAUGGGCUGGGAAAAUUUGAAAACAAUGAUGAUGCAAGAGUACUACCCGAGGGGUGAAGUACAAAAGCUUGAGCAAGAACUUUGGGGCCUUACCAUGACAGGUUCUGACAUAGCAACUUAUACCACUAGAUUUAGCGAUCUAGCAACUCUAUGUCCUGGGAUGGUUACCCGGGAGAGUAAGAAAAUUGAGAGGUACAUCUGGGGACUAUCAUAUCAGAUCCAAGGAAAUGUGCUAGUGUAACACCCCAUUUAUUUAUUUAAUAAAUAAAUAAAUUACUGAAGGAAUAGUAGCCUAAAAUCCAUAAUAAUUGAGCAAGGCGUUGUUCUCAAGGAGUUAAAAAGGUUAUAAUUGGAAGUUUAAGGGGUUAAAAUAUAAUUUUCGGAUUAGUUUGUAAAGAAUUUUGGAGGUUGGGGGCUUUGUAGUAAAUUAUGGGCUUAUUAUGAAAAGGAAUACUGGAAUAAAGGGCCAAAUAGUAAUUUCUCACUUCAUUUGAAAAUAAAUGUUGAGAGAGGAGCUACUUGGUAAAAGUUGGACUUAAAUUGUAAAGGUUUUAAGAGGCAGGGUCCAAAUGGUAAUUUAUGGGUUCAUUUUGAAAGAAAAAGGGAAAGGAGGGGCUAGACUUGUCAUUAUGAAUGUAUGUUUGGGGGAUCAGGGUAUAUAAACCGUCACCCCACCCGCUUCAAACCCUAACCCUAAAGGAAGUCCCAGCCGCCACCUUAUGCCUCUCUCAUCGGCCGCCACCUUACCUCCUUGCUUCUCUGACCAACCAAGUCACCGGCAAACCAUGGAUGUGAAGAUCAAUGAGGUUGCAAUAUCGUGUUCCUACGGUGCCACCGUUGUUGAUGAGGUCACAAAUCUACCCCCACGGCUGUUGUAGCUGUUCCAAAUCGCUGCCAUUCUUCUUCUCUUCUUUUAUUUAUCCCGUUACCUGCCGCCUUCUAGGUGGAGGAACUCUUGGCGUUUCCUGCUAUCAUCGGUGAAUGGUGGUAUGGUUCAAGUCUCGUGUGCGACGUGAGUGCGUUGUGGGGGAAGUUAUGUCGAGAAGGGUCACGGAGAACCACCAUGGCAGCCGGCCAUGGUGACUGUCAUCGCAAUCCCGCCGUUGUGGCUGGAUCCGUUUGCAAACUAGAAAGCGUGUGGGUGUUUGUUUUUGCUAUGGUGUGUGUGUUGUGUGUGUAGUUGUUUGGCUGGAAAAACUAAUAACCACCACCACCACCACCACCGUGAGGUGGUGGUUCCCACCAUGCACCACCGUGUGUUUAUUUGAGAUUUAGCAUUGUAAAGUGUAAUUACAAAUUAGAAUAAUGAAAGGAAAAUUGAAAACCACCACCGUGAAGUGGUGGCUGCCGCCCCCUGCCGCCACCCGNNNNNNNNNNNNNNNNNNNNNNNNNNNNNCCACCGGCCGCCGUGUCGGGUGGCGGUGUGCUUUGAUGGUGUUUUGACUCGUUUGGAUGGUUGGACAAAGGGAGUAAGGGGCUAAGAAACCGUAAUGGGCCCAAUGAGGCUUAAUGGGCUUAAUAAACCCUAAUGGGCCCAAUGAAGCUUAAUGGACCUAAAAGCCCAAACACAUGACUAAUGGGCCUAGUGAAACCUUAAUAAGUCUAAUGAACCUUAAUCGAUCAAAAGACAUAUCAAUUGGGCCUAUUGGGCUAAGAUGGGGUUGGAAACCCUAAUUAGAUUUUAGAAAACCCUAAUAUUGGAUUUAUUGGGACCCACUUUUGGGCCAUUGGAAUGGAACUGUGUGAUUAAGCCCAAUCACACCCUAUGACUUAUUUAGAAGAAUGAUGGACUUAAUGGAUUAAGUCCUUAAUGGGUUAAGUGAGAAAGACUUAACCCUAAUCGUCAUUUUAUGUGAAAAACCCUAAUUUCACUUGGGUUUAUUGUUGGGCCUUUUAUUGGUCCUUGAUGAUUGGAUAAUUAAUGGGAUUUGAGGUAAGGCCUGUCUGAGGAGUUGGGCCCAAUUUGGAAAAUUGGGCCAUAGAUGGGCCCUGGUUUGGGCCUUUGUGAUUAUGUGAUAUUGGGCCAUUAGAAUGUCGAAUGUUGGACGGGACUAAAUGGUUGGGCCUUAUGGUAAGACAUUAUAAAGGUUUGGGUCCAAUUUGGAAAAUUGGGUCAUGUGUCGGGCUUUGACUCAUAGUUGACUUUUAGGCCUUUGGAUUGGGCCUUGGGCUUGAAUAAAGCUAAGUUAGGGGUAAAGUAGUAUUUAACCCCAAGUAUUUAUUUAUGUGUUGGAACCCAAUUAUUAAUUGGGUGAUGUUUUGAUGUUGACAGAUUGGGAAUCUGUCAUCCAGCAGCUGGGGGCUAUGUCUACGGGACUUCAACAGUGUGAGGUGAGUUAUCUUCCAGUAGGGGUGGGUCUAAGGCACCAAUGCCGACCCACUAGCAGGUGAUUAUGUUGGAGAUGAUUGUAUUUGUGAUAAUUAUCUGGUUGCCAUUAUUUGAUAUGCUUAUUGUGCUGGGAUGCUAUGAGAUAUGUGUUAGUAGUAGUAGGGGUGCAAUAGUCCCCAGUUACCGGUUGAAAGAUACCGAAGACGGUUACCGGUUGAAAGAUACCGAAGGGGUGGACAAAACCUAUGCAUGCCUAGUAGUAUGUUUAUGAUAUGUUUUUAUGUGACCUGUAUGGUUAUGAUAUGCCAAUAUGUGAGCAGUAUGUUUAUGAUAUGAUAUUAUGUGACUAGUAUGGUUAUGAUAUGCCAUUAUGUGAUUCAAUUUGUUUAUGUUAUGUUAUCAUGGAACUAAUAUGUUUAUGACCUGUUAUUAUGUGAUAGUGAUAGGGGUGAAAUAGUCCCCGGAUACCGGUUGAAAGAGACCGAAGGGGAGGUUAGUUCCCGAGUAUCGGUUGAAAGAUAUCGAAGGGGAGUCUAGCUCCCAGUUAUGCCAGACAGAUACCAGUUGAAAGAUACCGAGGGAUAGGUUUUAUGUGGUAUGAUGGGGGAACUCACUAAGCUUUUUUUCUUACAUUUUUUAGUUUUUGUUUCAGGUACUUCGUUUUCAAGAGAAAGGAGCUGGCUCGAUCGCAACGCAUGACACUAUGGUUUUCCGCACAUGAGAUCUUUGGGAUUACACUAUGAUAUUGUUUAUGAUAACAUGUUUUGGUUAGUUCUACUUUGGUUUUGACAUGACAUGAUAUUAUGGAUGUUUUCUUAGACUUUUGGUUUUAUAAUAACCUAUUUGAAAAUGAAAAUUUUGGCCUUGAAUUUUAGGAUGUUACAGCUAGCAUCGAAUCCUGUUACAUUCGAUAGUGCCAAACGUCUGGCAGAGUCACUAGUAGACCAUGGAGUUCGUCAAGGCUUCAUGAUUGUCGUUCCAGAGCAACCCAAAGAAAGCAACAACAACAAGAAAAAGUUUUGGAACAAAAGGAAGGGCCAAUCUUUGCAAGAUCCCUCAAAGAAGCAACAGAUAGUGGCAGUCCAUGCUGCUACUGUUCCUACUGCUGUUCCUAUUACCCCUUCACCAUCAAAACAUUAUGCUGGAAAUCUGCCAAAGUGCAACAAAUGUAAUUUCCAUCACAUUGGAAAUUGCCGUGAAAUACACUGCAAGAACUGCAACAGAAAGGGGCACACCGCCCGUUUCUGUAGGUCACCAGCACAACCAAUCACCCAAGUUCCUGGCGUUGGAGUAAGCCAGGCUUGUUAUGGGUGUGGUGAAACUGGACACUUCAAAAGAGAUUGUCCAAAGGCGAGGAAUGCGGGUGGUGUUGGAAGAAUACUGGCUAUAGGUCACGAAGAAGCCAUUGCAGAUCCUACUGUGGUCACGGGUACGUUUCUCCUCAACAAUUCAUACGCAUGCCUUCUAUUUGAUAGUGGUGCGGAGAGAAGCUUUGUGAGCCAUAAAUUUGAACACUUAAACAAAAUUCCCAACCAUUAAAAGAUACCUUAACCGUAGAAAUGGCAAACGAAAGGACAGAGAACACUAACGACAUAUACAUAGGAUGUACCCUUACUCUAAAUAACUUUUCCUUCCCAAUUGACCUUAUGCCGGUUUCCAUAAAAAGUUUUGACAUCAUCAUUGGUAUGGAUUGGUUAAGUCCUAAUCAUGCUGAUAUCCUAUGUUACGAAAAAGCCAUUCACCUUAACCUGCCAAGUAAUGAAACCCUCAUUAUUUACGGUGACAAACCCAGUACAAACCUACAAAUCAUUUCCUACGUCAAAGCCCAAAAGCAUAUUCACAAAGAGUACUGUGCCUUUCUAGCUCACUUAGUAGACAAGAAACAAGAAGUAAAAGACAUCGAGAGCAUUCCCGAAGUCUAUAAUUUCUCCAACAUAUUUACCGAAGAUCUUCCAGGAGUAACACCAGAGCGACAAGUCGAGUUCAGAAUCAACUUGAUUCCCGGAGCUACCCCCAUAGCUAGAUCCCCGUACCGUUUAGCACCGUCAGAGAUGCAGGAACUAUCCAGCCAAUUGAAUGAACUUCCCAGCAAAGGAUUCAUCAGACCGAGCUUCUCACUCUGGGGAGCACCGGUCUUGUUCGUGAAGAAGAAGGAUGGAUCUUUCUGUAUGUGCAUAGACUACUGCGAGCUAAACAAACUCACUAUCAAGAACCGACAUCCCUUGCCUCAUAUUGAUGAUCUAUUCGACCAACUCUUAGGAGCAAGUUAUUUUUCAAAGAUUGACUUAAGAUAAGGGUAUCACCAGUUACAAGUUCUAGAAGAGGAUGUUCCCAAAACAACAUUCAGAACUCGUUAUGGUCACUAUGAGUUUGUAGUAAUGCCCUUCAGACUAACGAAUGCACCCGUAGUGUUCAUGGACUUAAUGAACAGGGUAUGCCGUCCUUACUUGGACAAAUUCGUGAUAGUCUUCAGAGAUGAUAUCCUUAUCUACUCACGAAGUAAGGAGGAGCAUAUUCAACACCUCUAACAUGUAUUGGAAACAUUGAGAGCGGAGUAUUUAUAUGCGAAGUUCUCAAAGUGGGAGUUUUGGAUUCAGAAAGUAGAUUUCUUAGGUCACGUGGUCAGCGAAGAAGGAAUACACGUGGACCCUUCCAAAAUAAAGGAAAUCAAGAACUGGUCAGCACCCAGAACACCGAUAGAAAUCCGCCAAUUCUUAGGCCUUGCUGGAUAUUAUCGCAGAUUCAUUAAGAACUUCUCCCGAGUCGCUAAGCCACUUACCACUUCGACACAAAAGGGUGUAACUUUUAGCUGGGGAGAAAAACAAGAAACUGCGUUCCAAACGCUGAAGCAAGCCCUGUGCAACGCACCUAUUUUGUCUCUCCCAGAAAGGACAACAGACUUUGUAGUAUACUGCGAUAGGUCUAACCAAGGGCUAGGCUGUAUUCUUAUGCAGCAAGGAAAGGUCAUAUCCUAUGCCCCAAGACAGAUUAAGACACACGAGGUCAACUAUACCACUCACAACCUCGAAUUGGGAGUAAUAAUAUUUGCUCUGAAGAUCUGGAGACAUUACCUUUAUGGCACGAAAUGCAUAAUAUUCAUGGACCAUAAAAGUCUUCAGCAUAUCUUCAACCAGAAAGAACUAAACAUGAGACAACGACAUUGGGUGGAGCUAGUAAACGAUUACAAAUGCGAGAUUCGUUAUCAUCCUGACAAAGCCAAUGUAGUAGUUGAUGACCUCAAUAGAAAAGAAUACCCGGGUCGUCGAGUAAAUUCGUUGACCAUGACUAUCCAUUCACACCUGUCCACAUAGAUCCAUGAGGCCCAAUUGGAAGCUUUGAAACCUGAGAAUGUGGCAGGUGAAACCUUAAGAGGAAUGGAUAAAAACUUAGAAGUCAAAAGUGAUGGAGUCCGUUAUCUCAUUAACCGAAUCUGGACACCAAAGUUUGGUGGUUACAGAGAGGUUGUCAUGAACGAAGCACACAAGACUCGAUACUCCGUUCACCCAGGUUCAGACAAGAUGUAUCUGCACCUUAUGAAACUUUAUUGGUGGCCGAACAUGAAAGCUGAAAUUGCUACCGAUGUGGGCAAGUGUCUGACUUGCACCAAAGUCAAUGUGGAAUAUCAAAAGCCUUUGAGUCUACUACAACAACUAGAAAUCCCCGAAUGGAAGUGAGAUCAGAUUACAAUGGAUUUUAUAACUAUGUUACCUAAGACAACGGGUGGUCAUGACACCAUUUGUGUAAUUGUCGAAAGAUUAACCAAGUCCGCGCACUUCCUCCCAAUAAAGGAAAAAGCCGAGAUGGAGAAAAUGACUAGAUCAUACAUCAGGGAGAUAGUAUGACUGCACGAUGUACCAAUAUCCAUUAUCUCUGACCGAGAUAGUAGAUUGUGACAACCGUCAAAAUUCAAGUCGGUUCUAGAUUUGACCAAACUUAGUUGUAUGUAUUGGCACGACACAUACUAGACUUAGUAACUAGAAGCUAUGUUAUAACCUACUAGAAGCUUGGAAACAAGUAGAAUUGAAGGAUAGUGUACUUAGACUUCGCAUUGAUAUGUGAAUUCUACAACUACUUAACUGUAGUGACUAUCAUAUUCGGGUCACUCUUCGAAUCGAACAACUUUUCAUAAAUCAUAUACACACAUCAUGCACUUGACCUAGAAGUAGAAAUUAGGUUAAAGUCUCAUAGAAACUUAAGUCAAAGUUAAAGACUAGGACUAGUAUACUUGAUUCCCCAAUUUCGCUUGAAUCUCAGAAUCACUACAUAGAAUGUCAAUAAACCGGUAAAAAAUUAAAUUACAAACAUUAUUUCUAAUUUGAAUAAGAGUUAUGAAACUCAAAAAUAAUAUAAAGUCUCAAAGAUUCAAUUUAUUUUUAUAUCCAAAGAUUUAUCAAACUCCAAAACCCUUAAAUUCCCUAAACACCUAAUUUUAUAAACCUUAACCUCAAAAACUCUAUGAAAAUAAUUAUGAAACUUAUAAUAUUAUCUUAUAAUAAUUAAUAUUAUGAAAAUGCAUUCAAAGAAAAUAAAAUUUAACUCAUUAACAUUUACCCUUAAAUUAUAAAUCAAAAAUCAAGGUUUUAUGAAUAAAAAAAUGAUUUUAGUGCAUAUUUUAUAUAAAAAUUGAGAUAUCUUAUAAAAUAAUUUAAAUUUUAAAAAAAUAAAUGACAGAGAAAGGGAUAUUACACCUCAAAAAUCGGCCCACUAUCUCUCCUCCUUCAAAGAUUAUCUUCCCAACACACACUAAAUGAUUUCCUUUCUCCCACACUCCACCUCGUCCCUCAUUCUCUCUCAUUUCUCUCUCACACUCCCACACACAUUUUCUCUUUUCCUCUCUCUAUGAACCAUAGAAUUUUCCAGCAAACAAGUCCCAGAACACUCAAGAUACUCAAAAUCUUCUUCAUCUAGUGGUGUUCAUUAAGGUAGAACAUGAUUUUCUUUCGUGUUCCUUCAAGUUUUCAUGGAUUUUCUUGCAUUUCCUUCUUCUUCUACACCUUUAUCUUAGAAAAUUUGUAUGCAUGUUCAUUCACUUCAGUUUUGAUGAUGAUGGUGGUAGGAUUUAACCCGAAAGCAACAUGCAUGUUGCUAAUGGUGAAGUCUCAUGACCAAAACCUAAGUCAAAAUCAACAUAAUGCACUUUUCUACAUGUUUUGGUGGAAAAUCACCACAUGUAUCCUAAGUAUAUUUUCAAAAAUGACUUUUGAACAUUUCAAACUCAUGAAUGGUCUUCAAACCAACAUGCAUGUGAUGAUCUUCAAGCUCAGAUGCUAGAUGAUCAAAGUUUGUUGUUAAAAGCUUUCAAAUAUGUUCAUAAAGGAUUUAUUCCCAAAUAAAUAUCUAAAGCUCCUUUUCUGAUCAAAUCCUAUUUUUCCCAGAAUCCCACCAACAAAAUAAGAUGAUUUAUAAAUUUUCAAAAAAUAAUUCACUACUCUCGAAUUAUUAUAAUUAUUUCAAGAAAAAAGAGCAAUAAUUCAUAUAAAAUACUUUCCAAGGUCUAUAAAUCCUAGAUAAAUUCUUGGAUGACCCCUAAAGUAAAUAAUGACAUCUCAUUUCAUCGAUUUUUGCUACUGUUUAGUAUGGUUUUGAAUUUUCUUUUUGUUUAGUUCCAGUAAAUCAUGAAACCACUUUAGGAAAUGUGAAAAUAUUAUCUUUUUUAAUCACAACUCCUACCCUAUGUGGAAGACUUUGAAAAAUAUUUUGGGAAUUUUUCAAAAUGUAUAUCUAUUUUUCCAUGAUUUUUGUGUUUAUAAUGGACUAAAAAAAGGGAAAAAUAGUUAUACUCAUCCAAAAUUCAUGAAAAUUUACCAGAAAACCUUAUAAUAUAAUAGGGUGCUAAGUAAAAAUUUGGAUAAUUUUUCUCUUCUGUAUGCUAUUUUUCUUCUAUUUUUCUAAGAUUAAAUGCACUUAAAUCCGCAAAAUCAUACUCUAAUAUAUAAAAAUCACCUUUGGUAUUUUUCUCAAGUUAUGUACACUGUAAAUGAAGUUUACAAAAGUUUUUGUAAUUUAAUUUAACUGUUUAAUACUUAUUCACCAAUUAAUAAUUAUUUAAGAGAAUAAAACAAAGAAAAAUAGCCAAACUAAUUGAAAAAUAUCUUUUAUAAAUUUUCACAGCUUCUAUAUGUUUAAUGAUAGUGCUACAAAAAGUUUGGGUAAUUUUGGAAACUGUUUUCUAUUUAUCUCCAUUUUUAUUAGAAUAAAUGCACAAAAAUCAUAUAAUCAGGUUAUACUGAGUAAGACUCAGAACCCGAGUACAGUGGCUGAGAUAGCUGAGAUGAGUCGAGUACCGUAUGCUUCUGCUGUAGGCUCGAUCAUGUAUGCUAUGACUUGUACUCGUCCUGAUGUGGCCUUUACUAUGAGCAUGGUCAGCGGAUAUCAGGGGAACCCUGGUAAGGCUCACUGGACUGCGGUAAAGAACAUUCUCAAGUACCUGUGGAGGACUAAGGACUGGGUCCUUACCCUUGGUGGGAGUGAUGACUUGAGAGUAGUUGGGUAUAAUGAUGCCAACUUUUAGACUGACAUGGAUAAUUUUUGCUCUCAGUCAGGCUGCGUCUUUACCCUAAAUGGAGGAGCAAUUACUUGGAAAAGUUCCAAGCAGGAGAUAGUAGCUGAUUCAACUUGAGAAUCAAAGUACAUAGCAGCAAGCGAGGCGGCGAAGGAGGCAAUAUGGCUGAAGAACUUCAUUGGAGACCUUGGAGUUGUACCAACUAUUAAGGAGUCUAUGGAGAUUUUCUGUGAUAACGAGAGUGCAGUUGCCUUAGCCAAGAAACCAAGGGAUCAUGGUAGAUUCGGGCACAUCGACAGAAAAUACCACUUCAUUAGACAACGGAUUGAAGAAGGAAUCCUCGUGGCAAAGAGGGUAUCAUCAGAUGAGAACUCAACAGAUCCCCUCACGAAGGGACUGUGUAGGGUUAAGCAUUUACAGCAUGCGAGGCGCAUUGGGAUGAAGGAUGAUAUUAGUUUUAGUAAUUAGAUAGCUUUCGAAACUUGUAAUAGUUGAAAUGUAAUUAACAUUUGAUGUUCAAAUAAAAGGUGUUUUUAUUUACUAGUAUGGUACUGUCUUGUGUCAAUCAUUUACUAUUGUUUCAUUUUGCAUGUUUUGACUUCCAUAAUAAUCAUGUUAUGGUAUAUCAUAUUAUUCAAACUAUCCACUGUCGAUCAUACUUUGGAAGUAGGUAUUGAAAUAAGACUGUCAUGGAUUGGGCUUGUAGAUUUGUCUGAAUUGUAUUAGACAUAGCAAUUGUUGCUGCAACAUUCAUGAGUACUCAUAAGUUAUGAGUAUUGAAUUCAACCUACGCUCACUUGUAUCACUUCAUGGAAUUUAUCUCGAGUGAUCGUGAGAUGGUAAUAUCAUAUAAUUCUUGAAACCAAGAGCUAUGAGUUGUUGACUAUGAGUUGGUUGUACAUUGAUAGUACGAAAACGCAUUAGUAACUUGAUGUUAUAAAACGUGCUGUUGUGUACAAUUUGACGAUUAGUUAGUACAAGCAUAUGAUUCGAAGUUUAUCUAUUCCUUUUAGUCCUUGGAGGAUUAAAAGCGAUAUCUUGGGCCCCUCGAUGAUUUUUUUGACCUAUGUACCGGGCCUGGUCAAAACUAAAUUGAUGUGUUCGAUUAAGUUCUACGUCAAACAAAUAGGAAAUUGGGAAACAAACUGCUGGACAAUAAGUACGACAUUGUUCCAUGUAUUUGUCCGGCUGAGAUCUUAAACAGAGGAUUAUAUGAUCACUUAUCUUAAAUGGCAGGUCAUCUAAGUUCCGCGAGACUUUGAAAGAUCUACGAUUGCUGAUCGGAUCCUGAAGUCAUACUUGCAGCUAUAGUUAUUAGACUUAUCCAAGUGGGAGUCUGUUGGAUAAGGUGUCUAAGUCCAUAACUAUAUCUGGUAUGUACUUGACCCGAUUUGGCAGGGUCCAUUUGGGUUGCAUGGCAUCGUAACAAUUGGAUAGACAAAAUGAGAAAAAGGACACUUAUGAUUUGUUAAUAUAUUAUACACUCUAAUAUAUUAAUAUGAAAUCAUAUUAUUUAAUUAGUAUUGAUAAAUAAUUAAUUUGGAAUUAAUUUUGUGAUCAAAAGAGACUAAUUAAAUAUAUGGGGAUAGAUUGUGUAAAUCAUUCAUUCUUAUAUAGUGGGCUUAUGAUCCAUGGUUGAUUGGAUUGGGCUAAAACCCAUAGGGUGCUCCAUGGAGGUUAAAACCCAUGGAUCAUGGAGGAAAUGAAAAGCCAUGCACAUUAGGGUUUGCAUGGUGUAACCCUACAUGUGACACACUAUAUAAAGACGCCAUAGGCUAGCAAAAUCAGCACUAAGACUAGAACAAGGAUGGAUAGCCGAUUUUGUGGUGAAGUGUUCUUCUCUCAAGUUAUUCCAAGAGUUUUGGUUUUGUGUGAAACACUUGAGGCAUCAUGUUUGGGGUGCUAGGAUCACAAGGUGUUAAGGAAUCAAAGCUACAAGAAAGGUAUGUCAUUCUACUAGAUUUUUGUAUUACAUAUACACCAUGAUAUGCUAGUAGGAUGAAACCUUGGAAAAAUCAAAGUUUUGAUGUAUAAUAGAAAAAACAUAAACCCAAGGAUUAUAGGGUUGCAUGCACACCAUAGGAGUGUUAGAAUGCUCAAAACCCAUCAAUAAAUGUAUCACCUUUAGCUGUUGUAUGAAAACCAUAUAACACAAGUGGAGCACUAACUCUAUUGGAAUGCCUCAGGGGUACGGACUCGUCAAUUGGCUCAACCAGAGUUUCCUCCUCGGGUUGAGUGCUAGUUUUUGAGGUUCCUUCAUCGUUUAACUCUUAAAGCUCUUCAUGGUCAACUUGCCUCCUACUGUCCUCUUGGCAUAUGAGUUCUCUCUCGCGAAGGAAUCCUCUCCUUGCAAUGAAGACAUCAUUGUCACUCGAUCUAUAAAAGAGAUAUCCAAAGGACUUCUGCAGGUAGCCAAUGAAAAUACAUCGCUCACUCCGAGGUUCGAGCUUUUUGUGAGUCUUGCAUCUCACGAAAGCCUCGCAACUCUAAACCUUGAUGUUGUCUAACGAGGGAACCUUCCCUGUCCACAUCUCGUGAGGUGUUUUGGAAAUCUUUUUGGUAGGGACUAGAUUAAGGAUAUGGGCGGCAGUCUCUAAGGCAUACUCCUAGAAUGAGAUAGGUAACAAAGCUCGACUCAUCAUGGAACGAACCAUGUCUAGCAAGGUUCGAUUGCGCCUCUCAGCCACACCAUUAAGCUGUGGUGUCCUAGGUGGCGUUAGUUGUGAAACAACUCCACAUUCCUUUAGAUAGUCUAGGAACUCGAUACUAAGAUACUCUACUCCAUGAUCAGAUCACAACAUCUUUAUCUUCUUGCCCAAUUGAUUAUCCACUUCUUGCUUAAAACUCCUUGAACUUUUCAAAAGUUUCUGACUUAUGUUUGAUGAAGUAGAUAUAGCCAUAUCUAUUGUAUUCAUCAGUGAAAGUCACAUAGAAGCAGUUAGCAUCCCUUGUGGCGGUUCUGAAUGGUCCACACACAUAAGUGUGUAUGAGAUCCAACUAACCUUCACCCCUUUCACAAGUACCGGUGAAGGGUGACUUGGUCAUCUUACCAAGUAAACAAGAUUCGCAAGUGUCAUUCGACUUCAAGUCGAAUGACUCCAAGACUCCAUCCUUUUGGAGUUGGGCUAUGCGCUUUUUUUUGACAUGUCCAAGACGACAAUGCCACUUGCAUGCCUUGUCCAAAACAUUGGAAGAAUCAAUAUUCAACACAUUAUUUCCUAAGUUAUCUACAACCAUCACAGUUUCAUAUAUACCAUUACAAGGUAACGCUUCAAAAUAAAAACACCAUUAUAAUAAGCAUUAAUACUACCAACUUCAUUAUUAAAAGAAAAGGUAAAACCUUGUUUAUACAAACUAUGAAAGGAAAUAAUGUUUCUCGCCAUAUCGGCCAAGUUACAACAAUUAUUCAAAUCUAAAUUUAAACCAUUACUAAGCAAUUAAGAAUAAACUCCAAUCUUGGUCACAAAUAACACUUUCCUGUUUCCCAUGAUUAAGUUUAUCUUCCCGUGCUCAAAAUCCCUACUUUUUUUUUAGUCUCUGCAAAUCAGAACAAAUGUGAAAUCCGCAACCUGUAUCAAGGACCCAAGAAUUUGCAUGUGAUGAAUUAUUAGAUUGAAUAGUGUAAAUAAAUGAAAAUGAGGGCUUGAUCUUUCCAUCCUUUAUAUCUUGCAAGUACUUGGGGCAGCUUCAUUUCCAGUGCCCUUUUUCAUGACAGUGGAAGAACUCUGCAUCCUUUGGAUUGGAAUAGGGAUUAGUAGAACCAGCUUUGGUCCCACUGGAAGAGGAUCCAUCAAGAGACUUUCCCUUGCGGCUCUUGUACGGAGCCUUUCUCUUCUUUCCCUUCCCAUGUCCAAUUACCAGAACAGGGGCAUAAGUAGUAGUAGUAGGAGUACACACAACCGACUUGCCUUUCAAGUUUCUUUCUGUAGUUCUUAAAAGGCCUUGAAGCUUGCUAAGAGUGACCAAUUCCUUAUUCAUAUGAUAGGUUAUACGAAACUGAUCAUAACAAGAAGGUAAAGAGUGUAGAAUAAUAUAUGUGGCUAACUCUUCAUCAAAAUUAACAUUCAAUUUAAGCAAGAGGUCCACAUAUCUCUGCAUCUUUUGCAAGUGGGACGUGAUGGGCUCUCCAUCCUUUGUUUUGGUUGUGAUCAUGGAGGCAAUGAUCUCAUACGUAUCCUACCAGCACUUUGAUGGUAUCUUUCCAUCAAAUCUUGAUACAUUUCAAAAGGAUAGUAGUCAUCAUAGGACUUCUGUAGCUUAGCAGUCAUGGUAGCAAUCACUAGACACAACACCUUUGUUGCAUCCCUCUCAUGAGUAGUGUGUUCAACGAUCUGUUCGGGGGUAGCAGUGGUUACAUCAAUCUCCUUAAUCUCUUUAUCUAGGAAAUCUUCUUUGUCCUCAUAGCGAAUAGCCAUUAAGAUGUUUCGAAUCCAGUCAUUGAAGUUCGAGCCAUCAAAAAUGACCCUCCCACAUAGGUUUGUGAGGAGAAAGAGCCUGGAGGGAUUGGGUUGGAAGCAUUGUUUGGGAUACACAUCUGAAAAAGAAUAAGAACAAAGUUUAGAUUAGAUGAGAAUCCUUAAUAUUACACCCAAAUGAAAUAUUAAGGCUAGGACCCAACACAAUAAUCUACAAUUGCGAAGAGGGAUGCCGUAAUCCAAUUGUAAAACAUUUGAAGGUAGGUAAAUGACGAUUUACCAAUUUCCACCAUGAAAAACGAAAUUGAUUAUUAAGUUUUAAUUGGAUUGAAAUUCCUAGAUCGUUUGAGAUUCAUUGAACUUUUCAAUGGCAUGUUUAAAUCUCGAUUGUGCCCUUCAAGUUUGUGACUGGGAUGCUGAGGAUCACAAAGAAGGUGUGAAUAACCAUGCAAAUUAGCUUGGUACACUCAAUGUUACAAAUCACCUAAUUAAUGUGCCGGUCAACCACACACGCUCCAAUAAUAAUUUAACAAGGUGCAAAGUGUAAUUUUAUGGAUUAACACCAUUUUACAUUUUCCUAAAGUAACUAAGAUUGGGAAUUUAAUAAAAGUUUAGCUACUUUAUAUUUAUCAUUAUAGUUUUAAUGAGAAUUAAUGUCUUAUCCUACCCGUUCGGCUAACCACUCUCCACCAAUCAAGGAAGCGGUGGGUGAGAGUGGACACCCAUUAAACCACCAUUUUAUAGGCAGUAACCAUAUACCCCCUUAUAGACCGACUUCGUGAAUGAGGCCUACUAACGGUAAGACUGACUUGUCUUAUAUAUAUAUAUAUAUAUAUAUAUANCAUGGAGGUGUAUAUAUAUAUAUAUAUAUUAUAAAACUUAUGAUAUUAUAAAGUAUAAGGGUUAAAUUUCAACUUUUAAAACUCUAGGGUCUGGAAUUAAAGUUUCAUUAGUGAGACUCCACAAAUUCCAGAACUUGAGGGCAAGUUUUGAAACUUGUCAAAACUCUUCGUAUUCAUAACUUAUGAGUUUAAUGCAUUUUUAAAGAUGAGACUAUUCAUUUUUCAUAACUUGAAGAAAAGUUAUGGAAGACAUUAAAGACAUUAAGAUCAACAUUUUAAUUAACUAACAAAAAUUAUCAAGUAAUUUACCUAUGAUCUAGUUAAACUCAUAAGUCAAGAUAAUUCAUAUCAACAAUUUUACAGGAAAUUAGCCUAUCACAUAAACUAAUACAAAUCUUCAAAUUUUGACAAUUAUCUUUUAAUUGGAUGAGCAUGAUCACUACCAUAUAAAAGAAAAUAGAUUUUAUGAUUCAAAACAGUUUGUGGCCGCAAAUUGAGUUUACGGUCGUAAGCUCUUCACGACCGUAAGCUUGGGCCGUAAAUUCCGACAAACCAUUUUUCGUCGAUUUUAGGCUCAAAAAUCGUUUAAUUGCUGAAACAAACACAUAUUCAUGGUCGAAAACAUGAUACCUUCGAAGCUAUCCGAGCAAUUUCACUAAAAAACGAUUUUUUGAGGAGAGAGAGAGAAGGAGAGUUUGCGGCUGGAAAUCAUAAAGUGAGGAUGAUCCCGACUGUAAACUCCUUAAAUAUCCAAGAUUCCUUUACCUGCUGGCCACACAGUGUAAGACACAGUCCAAGUGUUUCAAAAAUUUAAAAAAUAAAACUUUUGAGGAUUAAAAUUGAAACUUAAAAUUAAAAUUAAAACUUAAAAUUAAAAAUAAAAAUAAAAUAAAGUAAAAUAAAAUUAAUUUGUAAAAUUUAAAAUUAAAAAUUAACAGUUAAAUUUUAACAAUUAACAAAAAGAAAAAUUAAUAAUAAAAUAAAAAUAAAAAUAAAAUAAAAUAAAAUCAAAUCAAAUAAAAUACACAACAAAACAAAAGAAUUUAAUUACUGAGAAUAAAUUUUUGACUCUGGGAUCAAAGUUGUUGAACAACCCUAUUCCACUUGUCGGUACCCUUAUUUUCACGUCUUCGUCUGAUCGAUCGCCAAUAUUGUUGUCCACAUAAGCACGAAACAUUUAUGACAGAAUUUGGACAAUUUACCAAUAGCAUGACAUUUUUAGCCCUUAUUCUUAAAUAAAUUUCUUAGGGACCAUUUAGUUGACGACAACCAGGGAUAUUGUUGUCCGCCUAAAUUGAGNUCCUUGAGGCCAUUUAACUGACUACAACCAAGCAUAUUGUUGUCCACCUAAAUUGAGUAGCGAAAUCUACAGACAAUCUAUAUGAGCUCAAUUUUAAUUGUAUUAGAACGUGUUUCCCACUUCCUUAUAUGCUCUAGCCAUCAAGGACUUCCAUAAUACUCCUUACACCGAGUGAGCAGACAAUUAUUAAGAAAGAAAAUAGAUUUAGAAUGCAUAUGCUAUACAUCCAGUUCGGAUCUCUUCCAAUCACGCAGAGGAUGAAACAUAUGACUAACUGAAUUUUAGAGGGUUUGAGAAGAGAAUGUUGCAUAUACUGUGUACCAGGUCGGAUUUUGAGUCACGCAGAGGAGACANAGUAUAUGACAACAGAUAGAAAGAAUUGCAUAGGGAGAAGAUGCAGAGAGAUAGAAUUGCAUAUGUUAUAGUCCAGGUCGGAUCUCUCGAUCACGCAGAGGAGGUAACAUAUGAUUAACAAACAGAAAGCAAGAAAAUAACCAUCUACAGACCCAGUUUAUCGGAAUUCCCCAGUCACCCCAUCAAAACCGGAAUUAAGGACAGAAUCCACACAUCAAGGAAAAGUUAGUCCACAGUUCUAGAUACGGGUUCUUCUAAUGUGACCGUUAGAUUCUCAUGUAUAUUUCCCUGCUCUACCUAUCCGAGCGUCGUAAUGUCAGGCUAAACGGAUCUAACUAGGUCAAUAUUUGUCAAGUCUUUGAAUUUCUUAAGUUCAACUCUCCCUAGUCAAGUCCAUUUAAAAUAUUUCGUGCCUACCAACGCAUCGAGCAUAGAGCGUAGACAAUUCAAUUUAGGUACGUUACACAGAUUCAGAUUGCCCGUUAUCACUUGCUAAUAUCAUUUCCGUCACAACACCUACAAACAAAACUAUCAACAAUAUUUUUAAAUUUCUGGAUUUUUAUUGUUUUUGGAUUUUUGAAUUUUUUUUAUUGUUUUUGGAUUUUUGAAAUUUUGAUUGUUUUUGGAUUUUUGAAUAUUUCUCCCCCUAAAUUUGUGCAUGGGUGAGAAUAAAAAUAAAAGAAAAUAAAAUGCGCAAAUUUAAACCAACCUACCUAAAAAAACAAAAAUAAAUUAAAAAAAAUUAAGAAGAAUUAAGAAAAAAAAACAGAAAAACUUAAUCCUCAAAACGAAUCAUUUUCAGAAAUCCCACAAGCACAUCGAAACGAGCUUUGUUAAAAGGCUUAGUGAACAGAUCCGCCACAUUAUUAGCAGUGGAAACCUGUUCCAGCCGGAUUAGUGAAUGUUCAUAACAAUCUCUGAUGAAAUGAAUUUUAAUAUCGAUGUGCUUGGUUUUAGAAUGUUGGACUGGAUUUUUGGCAAUUUGAAUUGCGGCCUCAUUAUCAUAGUAAAUGGGGGUUUCUAAGUAAUUCAAACCAUAGUCCAACAACUGAUAUUGGAUCCAAAUAACUUGAGAACAACAGGCAGAUGCAACAACAUAUUCCGCCUCCGCUGUUGAGGUUGAGACAACGUGUUGCUUCUUGCAUUGCCAUGACACUAGUCUGUCACCAAGAUAUUGACACCCUCUUGAAGUAGAUUUCCUGUCAAGCUCACAACCUCCAUAAUUACCGUCAGCAAAAGCAUAUAAAUCAAAUUCAGAAUUCUUCGGAUACCAAUGACCCAAUUUUGGGCUACCUUUGAUAUACCGAAAAAUUCUUUUGACAGCAAUAAGAUGUGAAAGUUUAGGAUUAGCCUGAUAACGUGCGCAUUGACAAACUGCAAACAUAAUGUUUAGACGGCUUGCAGUAAGAUACAUCAACGAUCCGAUCAUCGAUCUGUAGAGAGUCUAAUCUACGGAGUCGCCAUCAGUAUCUAGAGUCAGAAGAGGUCUUUCAGACAUUGGCGUCGAUGUAGAUUUAGCGUCGUGAAACCCGAACUUCUCAAGAAUAUCCUCCACAUACUUGGCUUGAUGUAGCAGGAUUCCGAUUGAAUUUUGUUUGAAUUGAAGCCCCAAAAACAUGGCCAUUUCCCCCAACGAACUCAUUUCGAACCUCUUUUUCAUAACACCUUCGAAUUCCUUGCAAAGCUACAGACUGGUCGACCCAAAGAUAAUGUCGUCAACAUAGAAUUGAACCAGAAUCUGAUCAUUACCGACAUGCUUGAUAAACAAAGUUUGAUCGAUAGUGCCAUGAGCGUAUCCAUGCUCGAGCAAAUGCUUUGUUAGAGUCGCACACCACGCUCGAGGAGCUUGAUGCAACCCAUACAAUGCCUUGUCCAACUUGUAGACAUGAUUAGGAAACAUUGAGUCAACGAACCUAGGAAACAUUGAGUCAACGUAGAUUUCUUCCUUCACCUUUCCAUACAAGAAGGCAGUCUUGACGUCCAUUUGGUAAACGGUGAAGUUCAUGUAAGAAGCAUUUGCCAAAAUCUCCAGUUCAGAAUGAUACUCCUGAUGCUGAAACAACACCACUCACUCCUAUAGAAAGAGAGUUGAUGUCUAAAGAUGCUUCCGCUGUUACUUCAACCUUUAUGGAACUUCUCUUUCCUGAAAACAUUUCAAAUGAGUUUGUAGCAGAGUCGUCUGGCGCGGCUCAAUCAGCAAAUGAAGGAGGUGUCAAUAUUCACAAUUUUCCUGUCUCGCUUAAUGAUAUCAGCCAAGAAAUACCCUCAAGGAUUCAAUGUGAUCAUCCGAUCGAAAACAUCAUUGGUCAGCUGGGCGACGACGUUAAAACCAGAAGUCAGAGUGGAGAUGUCAAUACCUGUCUUUACUCUUGCUUUAUCUCUCAAAUAGAGCCCAAGAAUGUUGAAAUGGCUCUGAAUGAGCCCAGCUGGGCAGAUGCAAUGCAUGAAGAAUUACAUCAAAUUGAAAAACUCGGCGUUUGGAAGUUGGUUGAAUGCCAAAGGGCAUAAAGUCUCUUGACACACGAUGGGUCUAUCGAAACAAGUAGGAUGAUUCAGGGGUUAUAGUGCGAAAAUAUGGUUUAUACUUUGCUUUUCUAGGAAAAUGUAUUUUUGUGUCUUGGAUCAUAAACAACUUGGUGUGUACGGCCGUAUACGUGUUUAUGGUUGAGUUUACGGCCGUAAACCCAUUUACGGCCCAUGUUCCCCUUGUAUAUAUAUAGGUGUUAGGGUGAGGAGUAGGGAUUAAUGAACAAGGAGUGUACGGCCUAGAGAGAGAGAGAGAGAGAGAGAGAGAGAGAGAGAGAGAGAGAGAGAGAGAGAGAGAGAGAAGAACAAGUGUGUAUUAGUAUGUGUGAAUCUCUUGUAUCCGGAUCAUCAUUCUAUUUAUCAAUACAUUGAGAUUCAUAUUAUUCUUCUUCUCCUUCUCUUCUAUUUGAUCUGACAUCUCCCGUUUGAUUGGGAUUCCGCACCAUUAAAUGGACCUGAUUGAUACACAAGAAACUUAGGGACUUACAAUGAUGCUAAUCCAAUUUUGGCCAAAAACCUCGAAUUUCUGCACCCAAAGCCAUGAACUCGACGAGCGCAUGAACCUGACUCGCCGAGUAACCCUUUUACUGUGCGGACUCGUCGAGUUAGCCAGUGGACUCAACGAGUUCAUCAGUCAGAGGCCAGAAAAUCGAUUUUUUUCAACUUUGAAAACUAACAAGCAUAAAGUAUAAUAGAAAACAAUCCUAGGCUUUGAUACCACUGUUGGGUUUUGAGCACUAUAACACUCCUAUGGUGCACAUGCAACCCUAGAUGCUUUGGAUCUAUGUUUUCUCUAAUUAUACAUGUAUUUUCAUUUUUCCAAAGCAUUCACCCUAGCUAGCAUACAAUUGAAGCUAUACAAUAUAAAAACUAGUUUAGAUGGUUACCUCUUAUAUGUAGGGUGUAGUUCUUGACCUUUGAAGGCUCGAGCACCUCAAGUGUGAUGCCUCUAAUGGUUCACAAACACCAAAUGCAAGAGGAGGCUUGAGAGAAUAAUUUACUUAGCACAAAAUCAAUAUCACUCUCUUAGAAUGAAUGGUGCAACCGAUUUUGGCUCUAGGGGUGUGCUUUUAUAGUGAUACAAAUGCUAGGGUUACAUCGAUGCAAACCCUAAUACACCAUGACCUUUCACAUUCUUAGGCUCCAUGGGUUAAACCUCCAUGGACUAUCCAUAGAUUAUCUCAUUAGUUUAGCCCAUCCUAAAUAACCAUGGAUCAUUGGCCCACACUAUGAUAAUCAUUGAUUUACACAAUCAAUCCUAAUAUAUUUAAUUAGUCUCUUUUGAUCACAAAAUUAAUUCCAAAUUAAUUCUUGAUCAACACUAAUUAAAUAACAUGAUUUUUCAAUUAAUAUAUUAUACUUAUAAUAUAUUAAUAAAUCACAAAUAACCUUAUUCUCAAAAGUCCAUCCAAUCAAAUUGCACUGAUGAAGGCAACCCAAAAGGACCAUGCUACAAUCAGGUCAAGUACAUCCCAAUUAUAGUUAUGAGCUUAGACACCUAAUCCGUUAUAUAUAUANUAUAUAUAUAUAUAUAUAUAGGGUUAGGAUCAAAUGUGAAUCAUAAUUAUUGUGUGAAUGUAUGACCAAAUUAUAACCAUUAGAUUAAAAGAACGAAUGUAUAUAAUUUUAAGGUGCAUGCUAUUAAUAUGGACUAGCGUUUACUGUGUAACUACAAUUAAUUAAUUAUAUGAGUAAAUAUAUCACUUUAUUAAGAGAGAGAAUGAAAAAAUUACCUACAUUUUAGGCAACUAAGUCAAAUUAAUUAAUAUAAAUUAAAAUUUAAAAAUACAAAUUAAGAUUAGUUAAAAGUUUCCAAAAUUCAAUUUUUCUUAUUAUCAUUCUCAUUCAGGAAAAAUAAUUUUUUAAUUCAAUUUCCAUUCUUUUCAUGAGCAUUCUGGAUUAUUUAGGAAUAUGGUAUACUAAAUUUUGCAUAUUUGAAAUUCUUUUGGAUGAUUUUGUUGAUUAUUCUCCACUCUUUAAGAAUACAAACUAAUAGUUUUGAAAAUAACUUUUGAGGUCGAUUUUCUUGGAGAUUGUUUUGAACAUUCUCAAAUGGCACAAUUAAAUUUUCAUUCCUAUCAUUCUUAUUCUUGGAGAAUAAGACAUGAAUUACAAGUUUAUAAUCGAUAUUCUUUAAGCAUAAUAUUAACAAUCUUGAAAAAAAAACAUAUUCUUGAAGAAUAAGAAACUAAUUACAAGUGCAUAACUUACAUUCUUGAAUAAUAAUUUAACAUUCUUGAAAGAAAUAUAACAUGAAAUAAAUAAAGAAGGUAAAUAGCAAGUAUAAAAAUAUGACAUUCUUGUAAGAAUGAACAUAAUUUACAACUCCAAAUAUGAUAUUCUCUUAAGAAUGAAUUUAAAUUAUGUUGGGUUUAUGAAAAUCUGGUGAGCAUAUGAAGAAAAAACUUCACGAUUAAAGAAAGGACCCCAUUUUUUCCUCUACAAUUAUCCCUUGCUUGUGUGUUUAAAAAAAUCAAAAACCUACGCUUUAGAAAAGCCAUCACUUUUUAAUUGAGUCCAUAUACUUUGUUAAUUGAUGCUCCUCAAUUAUGUUAGAGUACCUAAACACAAAAAAACCAUUAAUUUUAAGGCUAUAUGAAAUAAAUGUUUAAAAAGGACAAGAUGAAAAUAAAAAUCACCAAAAUAGAGCUAAUAAUUUUUAUCAAACACUUAAAAUCAUCUACCGCCAGAAAUUAAUUAUAUUAAAAAAAAGUUUAGAUUAUAAUUUUAUAGAAAAAGAAAACAAUAUUCAAAGCCGUUUACAUGAAACAAGUCAUAACACGAGCAUAGUCACAUGGAACACAUAAUGUUUCUGUAAGUGGAACAAAAAAGAAAUGAGCAUUGAGCAUUUCUAAAAUUCUGUACAAUAAAGAUAGAUUCAUUCGAAACACGAUCUUGAUACACGAAACAAUAUACCACAUAAUCUACUAAUAAAAACAGUAUAAUUAAAACACAAUAUAUUUAAACUAGCUUCGCUUCAUAAGGUUGAUGCUCAACAAAAGAAAUUCACCAUCCGAAUAGUUUAACCCAAUGAAUUGAAUUGUAUAUUAAAUCAAAUGUGUAUACGAAUGAAUAAAGUGAGUGAGUAAAAUCAAUUUAUUAAUAUUAAAGAAUCGGCAGCUUAUUUCCCAUCGGCGAUAGAAACUUCGAACAAUUUUAGUGCAUUGAGUUAAAUCAAUUAUUUGCACCCUCCUUAUUUAAUUGAUACAACUAGAAGUAAAAAAAAAACAAUUGAUCCAAAGGAAAGAAAACAAUCGGUGUUUGAAAUUAAUUUUGUGAAAUACAUAACCGAUCCCAUUGGUAUUCCAAAUCAAUAGUGGAAUCGGUACAAAAUUGAAGACGUUUGCACUAAAGUGGUGAUUUUGAACCAUGCACAUGAUAAUGAAAAGCACUGAUGAUGAAUUGAAAUGAAUAGUGCUUAGAAAACGAUAAAUAUAUAAAAUCUGUAACUGGUCCAUGAUUUAAGGAAAAAUAUGUAUAAAUAUAGAAUUAAUUUUUUUUUUGUUAUCAAAAUAAGUGAUUGGUCCAAAAUUGGUUAUACAUUCACACAAUAAUUAGAGUUUAUAUAUGAACCUAACUCUAUAUAUAUACACAAUCGGGUCAAGUACAUAGUAAUUAUAGUUAUGAGCUUAGACACCUAAUCCGACAAAUUGUUAUGCUUGUAUUGGAUGAUGAAAAUACUGCUCGUAGGGAACAAUGUCUCCAAUUUGCAAAUUGUAAUGUUUGGGAAUUGUCUUGCUAUAAUGGACAUAAGGGAGAGAGCACUCGUACUUCUUUACGAAUCUAAAUGUUUAGAUCAUAUAAUUUAAUAAAACAUAUUCAAAUACGUAUAUUAAUGGCAUGUUUAAAUAUUUCAACAUUAGAUAUUCUAUAUAUGGAAAUAGCAUAGUAAAAGACUGAAUAGAUAUUAAAUCCUUAUAUAAGAUAUAAUGAGACGAGUCUCAUAUGCUUCGAAUAUAGGAUUGAUUAAUUAUGCUAUAAUAUUCACUUAUUCUAAUUCUUCAAAUGCUCUAAGAGUUGUGUAGAAAAGGACUAGAAUGUUAAGUGGCUAGAGUUAUUAAAGAAACNUAUAUAUAUAUAUAUAUAUAUAUAUAUAUAUAUACAUCUAUAUAUAUGUAUAUGUAUAUGUUAUCAAUACUCAAAAGUUUUAGAUGGUAAAUAUAUAAUAUUUGUUGUUAUAAUAGGUAUGACGAGCUUCCCACAAGUCGCACAUGGUUCUUGUAGUAAAGAUUCUGACUGUGAUUUUAUUGAACCUCCUUGUCCUUUUGAUGCAUAUGCUGUAUGCAUUUGGAAAACCUGUUAUUGUAUUGGGUAUGAUCAAGCAAGGCCUCCUGCUAUUCCUACCAUUAACCAUAAUGAUGUUAAAGCUCAAGAGAAACAUUAUUAAUCUUAGGUUUUAUGCUUUGCCGAUUUAUACAUAGUCGCGAAUAACACAAGUGUAAAUAUAUUGAAGUGUUCAACUGAUGUGUUGAAAUAAAAUAUGUGUGAU